This 400-nucleotide ribosomal RNA is filed under the name uncultured bacterium. Its description in RNAcentral is "bacterial SSU rRNA". It matches the Rfam family "Bacterial small subunit ribosomal RNA", at positions 355 to 772 of the family's 1533-position model. The record is from RNAcentral.
UGAGGAACCUUCCACAAUGGGCGAAAGCCUGAUGGAGCGACACCGCGUGAAGGAAGAAGGCCUAACGGUUGUAAACUUCUUUUCUGAAGGAGCAUAAUGAGAGUACUUCAGGAAUAAGGAGCGGCUAAUCACGUGCCAGCAGCCGCGGUAAUACGUGAGCUCCGAGCAUUACCCGGAAUUACUGGGUGUAAAGAGUUCGUAGGUGGAAUAAUAAGUUGUAUAUUAAAGACCGAGGCUUAACUUCGAGUUUGUGUACAAAACUGUUAAUCUAGAAUCAGGGAGGGGUAAGCGGAAUUCUGAGUGUAGGGGUGCAAUCCGUAGAUACUCAGAGGAACACCAAAAGCGAAGGCAGCUUACUGGAACUGAAUUGACACUCAAGAACGAAAGCGUGGGGAGCGGA